RNAcentral lists this transfer RNA (77 nucleotides) under Acinetobacter baumannii. RNAcentral describes it as "tRNA-Met". It matches the Rfam family "tRNA". Rfam says of the family: Transfer RNA (tRNA) molecules are approximately 80 nucleotides in length. Their secondary structure includes four short double-helical elements and three loops (D, anti-codon, and T loops). Further hydrogen bonds mediate the characteristic L-shaped molecular structure. tRNAs have two regions of fundamental functional importance: the anti-codon, which is responsible for specific mRNA codon recognition, and the 3' end, to which the tRNAs corresponding amino acid is attached (by aminoacyl-tRNA synthetases). tRNAs cope with the degeneracy of the genetic code in two manners: having more than one tRNA (with a specific anti-codon) for a particular amino acid; and 'wobble' base-pairing, i.e. permitting non-standard base-pairing at the 3rd anti-codon position. RNAcentral also lists the same sequence under 13 other names. The record is from RNAcentral. Lineage: Bacteria; Pseudomonadati; Pseudomonadota; Gammaproteobacteria; Moraxellales; Moraxellaceae.
UGCGGGGUGGAGCAGUCUGGUAGCUCGUCGGGCUCAUAACCCGAAGGUCGUUGGUUCAAAUCCAGCUCCCGCUACCA